CCUACGGGUUGCAGCAGGGGGGAAUAUUGCACAAUGGGCGCAAGCCUGAUGCAGCCAUGCCGCGUGUAUGAAGAAGGCCUUCGGGUUGUAAAGUACUUUCAGCGAGGAGGAAGGCAUUAAGGUUAAUAACCUUGGUGAUUGACGUUACUCGCAGAAGAAGCACCGGCUAACUCCGUGCCAGCAGCCGCGGUAAUACGGAGGGUGCAAGCGUUAAUCGGAAUUACUGGGCGUAAAGCGCACGCAGGCGGUUUGUUAAGUCAGAUGUGAAAUCCCCGGGCUCAACCUGGGAACUGCAUUUGAAACUGGCAAGCUAGAGUCUCGUAGAGGGGGGUAGAAUUCCAGGUGUAGCGGUGAAAUGCGUAGAGAUCUGGAGGAAUACCGGUGGCGAAGGCGGCCCCCUGGACGAAGACUGACGCUCAGGUGCGAAAGCGUGGGGAGCAAACAGGAUUAGAUACCCCAGUAGUC
Molecule: ribosomal RNA, 465 nt
Filed under: uncultured bacterium
Lineage: Bacteria
Description: bacterial SSU rRNA
Rfam family: Bacterial small subunit ribosomal RNA
Source: RNAcentral